ACUCCUACGGGAGGCAGCAGUAGGGAAUCUUCCACAAUGGGCGCAAGCCUGAUGGAGCAACACCGCGUGAGUGAAGAAGGGUUUCGGCUCGUAAAGCUCUGUUGUUAAAGAAGAACACGUAUGAGAGUAACUGUUCAUACGUUGACGGUAUUUAACCAGAAAGUCACGGCUAACUACGUGCCAGCAGCCGCGGUAAUACGUAGGUGGCAAGCGUUAUCCGGAUUUAUUGGGCGUAAAGAGAGUGCAGGCGGUUUUCUAAGUCUGAUGUGAAAGCCUUCGGCUUAACCGGAGAAGUGCAUCGGAAACUGGAUAACUUGAGUGCAGAAGAGGGUAGUGGAACUCCAUGUGUAGCGGUGGAAUGCGUAGAUAUAUGGAAGAACACCAGUGGCGAAGGCGGCUACCUGGUCUGCAACUGACGCUGAGAUUCGAAAGCAUGGGUAGCGAACAGGAUUAGAUACCCUGGUAGGCUAGCG
RNAcentral lists this ribosomal RNA (473 nucleotides) under uncultured bacterium. RNAcentral describes it as "bacterial SSU rRNA". It matches the Rfam family "Bacterial small subunit ribosomal RNA", at positions 335 to 801 of the family's 1533-position model. The record is from RNAcentral.